GCUCCCGUAGCUCAGUGGAUAGAGCACUCGCCUCCUAAGCGAGGGGUCGGCAGUUCGACCCUGCCCGGGAGUGCCA
The sequence is a transfer RNA, 76 nucleotides long. It matches the Rfam family "tRNA". From Rfam's summary of the family: Transfer RNA (tRNA) molecules are approximately 80 nucleotides in length. Their secondary structure includes four short double-helical elements and three loops (D, anti-codon, and T loops).